RNAcentral lists this unclassified non-coding RNA (334 nucleotides) under soil metagenome. RNAcentral's name for it is "partial contains 5.8S ribosomal RNA, internal transcribed spacer 2, and large subunit ribosomal RNA". The stretch from base 1 to 120 matches the Rfam family "5.8S ribosomal RNA", at positions 35 to 154 of the family's 154-position model. The record is from RNAcentral.
GAUGAAGAACGUAGCGAAAUGCGAUACGUAAUGUGAAUUGCAGAAUUCAGUGAAUCAUCGAAUCUUUGAACGCACAUUGCGCCUGCCAGCACUCUGGCAGGCAUGCCUGUUCGAGCGUCAUUUCAACCAUCAAGCCCUAGGCUUGCGUUGGAGCCCUGCGGCUGCCGCAGGCCCCUAAAAGCAGUGGCGGGCUCGCUAUCACACCGAGUGCAGUAGAUUACUCUUCGCUCAGGGCGUGUGGCGGGUUCCAGCCGUGAAACCCCCUACUUCUCAAGGUUGACCUCGGAUCAGGUAGGAAUACCCGCUGAACUUAAGCAUAUCAAUAAGCGGACGA